Molecule: non-coding RNA, 21 nt
Filed under: Caenorhabditis elegans
Lineage: Eukaryota; Metazoa; Nematoda; Chromadorea; Rhabditida; Rhabditidae
Source: RNAcentral
UUCCUACUGAUUUGGCAUUAC